Molecule: non-coding RNA, 1584 nt
Organism: Cherax quadricarinatus
Lineage: Eukaryota; Metazoa; Arthropoda; Malacostraca; Decapoda; Parastacidae
Source: RefSeq, a predicted model, not a curated record
AACAACAAUAUUGUUAAAGGUAAUACAAUAAAAGGUAAUAAUAACAACAAUAUUAUUAAGGGUAAUACAAUAACAACAAGUAAUAAUAACAACAAUAUGUAUGGUUGAACAUAGUUGAAAAAUAUUCUUUUAAUUUUGAAGUCUUAAGUUUUGAAUAUUUCUACAUGUAAAUUUAUAUUUUGUGUAUCAGAAAUUGAUUUAACUUUUCUAUUUGAUAAACACUGGGAUAAAGAUAAUACUAGGAUAAAGAUAAAAAUGGGAUAAAGAUAAUACUGGGAUAAAAGAAAAUACUGGGAUAAAGAUAAUACUGGGAUAAAGGUAUUACUGAGAUAAAGGUAAUACUGGGAUAAACAUAAUACUGGGAUAAAGAUAAUACGGGGGAUAAAGGUAAUACUGGGAAAAAGGUAAUACUGGGAUAAAGGUAAUACUGGGAUAAAGGUAAUACUGGGAUAAACAUAAUACUGGGAUAAAGAUAAUACUGGGAUAAAGGUAAUACUGGGAUAAAGGUAAUACUGGGAUAAAGAUAAUACUGGGAUAAAGAUAAUACUGGGAUAAAGGUAAUACUGGGAUAAAGGUAAUACUGGGAUAAAGGUAAUACUGGGAUAAAGAUAAUACUGGGACAAAGGUAAUGCUGGGAUUAAGAUAAAGCUGGGAUAAAGGUAAUGCUAGGAUAAAGGUAAUAUAUUUCACUAUCUUUCUGGUGGUUGGUUUCUGUAGUUUGAUAAAAGUUUUGAUAAAGGAACAAUACAGUAGAACCCCACAUAUACGGCAGGUUAGGUUCCAGGCGACUGCCAGAAAGCAGAAUGCCAUUUUUUUCACUUAUAAAUGCAUUUAAAUGCCAGGUAACAAGUUUACACAAACAUAUAUUAUGUUAGCAAUAGAACUAGGUGGUGUCAUGAGUGGCUGGUGUUUUCAUGUCAGCACAACAGCUGGUAAGUGUCAGGUGUGAUUUAUAUUCUUCUGUUACAACAACAACUAGAGAGAAGUCAAGUGUGCUUUGUGAGUACACAACUGGCCAGAGACCAGGUAUGAAUAGAUAUGAUUACACAGCUGGCCAGAAACUAGGUAUGUCUAGAUAUAAUUACACAGCUGGCCAGAGACCAGGUAUGUCUAGAUGUUAGUACACAGCUGGCCAGAGACCAGGUAUGUCUAGAUGUGAGUACACAGCUGGCCAGAGACCAGGCAUGUCUAGAUACGAUUACACAGCUGGCCAGAAACCAGGUAUUUCUAGCUGUGAGUACACAGCUGGCCAGAGACCAGGUAUGUCUAGAUAUGAGUACACAGCUGGCCAAAAGACCCCGGUAUGUCUAGAUGUGAGUACACAGCUGGCCAGAGACCAGGUAUGUCUAGGUGUGAGUACACAGCUGACCAGAGACCAGGUAUGUCUAGAUGUGAGUACACAGCUGGCUAGAGGCCAGGUAUGUCUAGAUAUAGAGUGAAUUUAAAGGAAGUUGAAAUGUGUGUUAACAGAAUUUCUGUUUUUUCAUAAAAAUAUAUUCUGUGUGAUAAUUACUUUGUUAAUACUAAAAAUGCUAAAUAUUCUCUCUCUCUUCAAGUUUUAUUAAAACAGAAUAUGAAUAUUUA